This 1103-nucleotide long non-coding RNA is filed under the name Sus scrofa (pig). Its description in RNAcentral is "lncRNA (ENSSSCG00050070995.1)". Lineage: Eukaryota; Metazoa; Chordata; Mammalia; Artiodactyla; Suidae. The record is from RNAcentral.
GAAUAGCAUCUCGGAAAGUUUUUGUAAGGAUCCCAUGACAUUUAUCACAAGAAGCACUAAACACAGUGUCUUGCAGACAAUGACCUUGAGGUCCAUAGAGUCAUUAUUAUUGCCACUUAAUCAUCCUGAUAGCCAGUCUCUGAAACCAAGCUUUAAGUCAAAUGACAGUGAUGGAUAUUAAAACAUAAUGUCCCAAGUGAGUUCCAAGAGGCACGUCACCUACGCUGCAGGAGAUACUUCCACUGGAAACUAUACUUCACUCAUCCUGUCUUUUGCUUUUCCAGUGGGACAUUUCUGCUGAGUUCUCAGUAGCAGAAAACCAAAGGGAUACAGGUUGAUAUUUGUAUUUGUGCCCAGCUGCUUUGACCUGCUUACUCUAAGAAUUAGAGGGAUGAAACUCUAGGAAUUAGACCUUCAUGGAAGCUGGUCUUAUGUCAUUUAACAAUGGUAGGGCAAGUUAAGGGAUGGUUUUCAUGAAAUAAUUCAGAAAAAUUCCUGUUUUCUUCAGCAGGAAACACUCUGGCCCCAGAAAGAAGAUGUUCAUAUUUGCAACCUAGCUAUGUUGUUAAUAUUGUCAUACAUUUGAAAGUGUUAUUUUUCAAUUUCCCCAUGAUGCUUUUCUUAUACUAAAUAGUAUUCUCCCUACUCACCCUGCACAGGCUUUGGAGUAUAACAAUGAACUACUCACUGUAAACAAUUAAGAAAAUACAGAGAAGUAUAAAGAAGAAAAAUAACCACCCAUGAAUAUGUACAAUUAAGAUUUUGUUAUAGAUUCAUUUUUCAACAAUUAAUUCAUGUGCCUACCCUGUGCCCUCGUGAUUUUUCACUCUGUUAUACAUAUGUGUAUAUUUACAUAUUUAAUUUAAAUUAAAAAACUGGUAUGGCAGUGUUUAAUUUCAUAUCCUCUCUUUUUCAUUUAAGCCAGAGGCUCACAGGAUCAGCUUUUGACAAUAUCAUUUUUAGGACGUGCAUAACAAUUCAUCAGGUAUUCAGUUUCAAGGAUCUCACUCAGAGCUGGCCCUCUGUGAAUGUUGCUGAUAGGUGCCUGACUGCACAGAGCUGAUGGUGACAAAGGUAAACACCACAUUAAACACACACACACA